CAUUCUAUCCUCCAUGCGCUUAACCUCUUGAAGGGGCUCUGACCCCUGAUUCCUAUCCAGAUGGUUCAAUUCCGAACUGCAGUCAGGGAUGGAAAACUGCAGGCAAAAUCGGAACCAGUCAUAUUCUCUCACUGACUGUGGGCCUUCGGCAGUUCAUGGGGGCAGGGCGGCGGCAGCAAAGGAGGAGCAUCACUCGAGAAUAACUAGAGUAGGGUAGAGCAGAGUUUUGAACAUGGACACCCUUUAUGCAGAUAACACAUUUGUUAUGCUCAAGAGACCAAUGUCCUCAACCGGGAUGUAAGAACCCAGGAAGACAGCUACAUGCAGUUCAGACUACUCUAUCCAUGACUCUAGGAUCCCAGCCAUGCCUGGCUAAGCUCACUCCCUCAAUUCCCGCUUUAUUUCUGAUCCUUCUGUAUGCUACCCUCAUUCCUGACCGGAGCUCUUUUUUUUUUUAUUACCUGUGCCCUUCGUUUGCAAUAAUGUCGCUCCAGAGUCUUAAACCAAUAUCUUGUCUCCACUCUUCACCUCUCAGUCGUACAUGUCAGUCCCUCAUAGCAUCCUAGUUAGGCCAGUAUCCUCGCAACAUCAUCAGAUAUAAUGCUGUUGGUACAUUGGGUCCGAAACGCCAAGCCUGAAUUUGAGCAUCCUUCCCCUGCUUCCUUACUAAGCGUGGGCUAGGAAGAAAAUGCCAUACAUGAAUGGUAGAGUAUCAUCGUCUGCCUUCCUCCACAGAGUUGGAUUUUUUGCGGGGAGGAGCGGGUCACAGGGAGAAGUACAAGCGAGGGUCUUAGAAUAGUGGACCUGGCUAGGGAUUUAGCUCAGUGGUAGAGCGCUUGCCUAGCAAGCGCAAGGCCCUGGGUUCGGUCCCCAGCUCCGGAAAAAAGAAAAAGAAAAAAAAAAGAAUCAAGGCUAGAAUAGUGGACCUGCUGGCCAGGGUACUCUGCACAUGGGUACCAGUGGUUUCAUGGCAUCUGCUGGUGGCUGCUUAUUAACACUACAGGUAACUUUCUCCAUUCUUCACAGUGCUCUUGGAAGCUAGGGACCGUCCCUAAACAUAACAAAUCUUCGAUUAACUCAUCAACUAUUAUGGCUCUUGUCUAAAUACUAAUUAAGGGACUGGAGAGAUGACUCAGUGGUUAAGAGCACUGGCUGACUUCCAGAGGUCCUGAGUUCAAUUCCCAGCAACCACAUGGUGGCUCACAACCAUGAGUAAUGGGAUCCGAUGCCCUCUUCCGGUGUGUCUGAAGACAGCUAUAGUGUAACCCUAUGCAUAAGAAUCUCCUCAGGUGUUUCCUCACAGCCAUCAAGAGUGGACAUUGAAGGGUCUUUCACCAAAUGAGUCAGGACUAAGUAAUGCUGACAAGGUCAUCCCACCUGAUACUUCUCCUGCACUCGUCCAUCUCCCUAACACACUCGUCUGCUCUGACUUCAUCCAUCAAACUCCUACCUAUCCUUCAAAACCCAGAUCCAACACAGUCUCCGUAAUAAACUUUCCGUGGGACUUCAACAAUCAACUGUUCUCUCCUACGUUCUCACAGGAGCUGAGACUCAUGCUGUUGGGUUGUCAGUGUCCUUGAAAAGUGAGGUGCUUUCCCUUAACGCUGGGGCCUGAGGCAGAAAGAUCAAGAGGCUAUGCUUAGCCUGGGCUUUUAUAUUGAGACCUUGUCUAAAUAGCAGAAAACAAACAAACAAAAACACUUUCUUUUUUUCUGUCUGGGAUGUCCAAUUGCAGUAAUAAAGUUCUCAAGACUU
Molecule: non-coding RNA, 1755 nt
Organism: Rattus norvegicus (Norway rat)
Lineage: Eukaryota; Metazoa; Chordata; Mammalia; Rodentia; Muridae
Source: RefSeq, a predicted model, not a curated record